GAACGGGGCCACUGCCCAUAGAGGGUGCCAGGCCCGUAGCGACCGUCGCCGAUCCAGGGAGGAUCUCUCCUCAGAGUCGGGUUGCUUGAGAGUGCAGCCCUAAGUGGGUGGUAAACUCCAUCUAAGGCUAAAUAUGACCACGAGACCGAUAGCGAACAAGUACCGUGAGGGAAAGUUGAAAAGCACUUUGAAGAGAGAGUUCAAGAGUACGUGAAACCGUUCAGGGGUAAACCUGAGAAACCCGAAAGGUCGAAAGGGGAAAUUCAUUCGCGUCUCGUGCGGCGGCGGCGUGGCGGUACGGUGAGACUGGAAGGCGCUUCGGUGCUGUACCAGUUCCCUCCGCUCGUCGAACCGUCGUCGAACGCGUGCACUUUUCCCCUAGUAGGACGUCGCGAUCCGUUGGGCGUCGGUCUACGGCCCGUGCGGGAGCCCGAUCGGAGGGCGGUGUCAAAGCCGUUCUCCCGAGCGGACCCAUGGUGACCUGGCCGGCUCGCUCGACGGUAUACAGAUAAAGGUGCGGGGCCGCCACGCUCGUCAGAGCUGGCAUCCGGCCCGCGGCAAGCGCGCCCGUUGGCGUCGGCGAUCGGACCUAGUGCCGAUCCCGGCCCCGGGCGACUGUUGGCCGUGUGUGUUCUCGGACAGACCCCGUUGAAACACCGAUCUGCGACGCUAUAGCUUUGGGUACUUUCAGGACCCGUCUUGAAACACGGACCAAGGAGUCUAGCAUGUGCGCGAGUCAUUGGGACUUUGAUAAACCUAAAGGCGCAAUG
This 770-nucleotide ribosomal RNA is filed under the name Boganium sp. ccoc234. Its description in RNAcentral is "eukaryotic LSU rRNA". It matches the Rfam family "Eukaryotic large subunit ribosomal RNA", at positions 193 to 721 of the family's 3401-position model. The record is from RNAcentral. Lineage: Eukaryota; Metazoa; Arthropoda; Insecta; Coleoptera; Boganiidae.